CUGAGUAAGGGCGUGUGGUGGAUGCCUAGACUGAAGAAGGCGAUGAAGGACGUGGUUUAGCUGCGAUAUGCUUCG
RNAcentral lists this ribosomal RNA (75 nucleotides) under Candidatus Kaiserbacteria bacterium RIFCSPLOWO2_12_FULL_50_28. Its description in RNAcentral is "partial 23S ribosomal RNA". The record is from RNAcentral. Lineage: Bacteria; Candidatus Kaiseribacteriota.